Molecule: small RNA, 148 nt
Filed under: Bacillus altitudinis
Lineage: Bacteria; Bacillati; Bacillota; Bacilli; Caryophanales; Bacillaceae
Also listed under: 2 other names
Description: ydaO-yuaA
Rfam family: c-di-AMP riboswitch aptamer (ydaO/yuaA leader)
About the family: This family represents a conserved RNA structure found upstream of the ydaO and yuaA genes in Bacillus subtilis and related genes in other bacteria. The ydaO/yuaA element is thought to act as a genetic "off" switch for the ydaO and yuaA genes in its native state. It is believed that the element may be triggered during osmotic shock leading to activation of ydaO, a predicted amino acid transporter gene, and members of the yuaA-yubG operon which code for KtrA and KtrB K+ transporters.
Source: RNAcentral
AAAGACCAAUCGCUGAAUCAUUUCGAUGAGCGGGGGAACCAAUUGUGGUGGUAUAAAACACCACGUGGGGUGAAUCCUUUUAAGGUAGGGCAAAAUCUCAUGCGCCCGAAUCCGUCAGCUAACCUCGUAAGCGUUAAAGAGAGCAAAG